This 73-nucleotide transfer RNA is filed under the name Microcaldota archaeon. RNAcentral describes it as "tRNA-Gln". It matches the Rfam family "tRNA". Rfam says of the family: Transfer RNA (tRNA) molecules are approximately 80 nucleotides in length. Their secondary structure includes four short double-helical elements and three loops (D, anti-codon, and T loops). Lineage: Archaea; Nanobdellati; Microcaldota. The record is from RNAcentral.
AGCCCUGUCGUCUAGCGGUCCAGGAUGCGGGGUUCUGGUCCCCGUGACCCAGGUUCGAAUCCUGGCAGGGCUA